Eptesicus fuscus (big brown bat) is the source of this 171-nucleotide long non-coding RNA. RefSeq lists it as uncharacterized. Lineage: Eukaryota; Metazoa; Chordata; Mammalia; Chiroptera; Vespertilionidae. The record is from RefSeq and is a predicted model, not a curated record. The transcript has 4 exons.
UCACUUGGGACCCAUCAGGUUUCUCUACGACCAGAAGGUUCAGAAAAGGACAUAAGGCAAUGAAGGACUCACUUGGGACCCAUCAGGUUUCUCUACGACCAGAAGGUAUGAAGAGGAAGAGUUAAGCAGGAAAUGUGGCAGAAGAACCUAACUCAGGUCUAAAGAGCUAUA